GGGCUCGCAGGCGGUUUCCUUAAGUCUGAUGUGAAAGCCCCCGGCUCAACCGGGGAGGGUCAUUGGAAACUGGGGAACUUGAGUGCAGAAGAGGAGAGUGGAAUUCCACGUGUAGCGGUGAAAUGCGUAGAGAUGUGGAGGAACACCAGUGGCGAAGGCGACUCUCUGGUCUGUAACUGACGCUGAGGAGCGAAAGCGUGGGGAGCGAACAGGAUUAGAUACCCCCGUAGUCC
RNAcentral lists this ribosomal RNA (233 nucleotides) under Bacillus sp. (in: firmicutes). Its description in RNAcentral is "Bacillus sp. (in: Bacteria) partial 16S ribosomal RNA". It matches the Rfam family "Bacterial small subunit ribosomal RNA", at positions 565 to 796 of the family's 1533-position model. The record is from RNAcentral. Lineage: Bacteria; Bacillati; Bacillota; Bacilli; Caryophanales; Bacillaceae.